Molecule: ribosomal RNA, 422 nt
Filed under: uncultured bacterium
Lineage: Bacteria
Description: bacterial SSU rRNA
Rfam family: Bacterial small subunit ribosomal RNA
Source: RNAcentral
UGAGGAAUAUUGGACAAUGGGUGGAAGCCUGAUCCAGCCAUCCCGCGUGAAGGAUGACGGUCCUAUGGAUUGUAAACUUCUUUUGUACAGGGAUAAACCUACCCUCGUGAGGGUAGCUGAAGGUACUAUACGAAUAAGCACCGGCUAACUCCGUGCCAGCAGCCGCGGUAAUACGGAGGGUGCAAGCGUUAUCCGGAUUUAUUGGGUUUAAAGGGUCCGUAGGCGGACUUAUAAGUCAGUGGUGAAAGCCUGUCGCUUAAUGAUAGAACUGCCAUUGAUACUGUAAGUCUUGAGUAUAUUUGAGGUAGCUGGAAUAAGUAGUGUAGCGGUGAAAUGCAUAGAUAUUACUUAGAACACCAAUUGCGAAGGCAGGUUACCAAGAUAUAACUGACGCUGAGGGACGAAAGCGUGGGGAGCGAACA